UACAGAGGGUGCAAGCGUUAAUCGGAAUUACUGGGCGUAAAGCGUGCGUAGUCGGUUAUCUAAGUCGGAUGUGAAAUCCCCGGGCUCAACCUGGGAAUUGCAUUCGAUACUGGAUAGCUAGAGUUCGGCAGAGGGAAGCGGAAUUUCGGGUGUAGCGGUGAAAUGCGUAGAUAUCCGAAGGAACAUCAGUGGCGAAGGCGGCUUCCUGGACCAGAACUGACGAUCAGGCACGAAAGCGUGGGGAGCAAACAGG
This 253-nucleotide ribosomal RNA is filed under the name uncultured bacterium. RNAcentral's name for it is "partial 16S ribosomal RNA". It matches the Rfam family "Bacterial small subunit ribosomal RNA", at positions 524 to 776 of the family's 1533-position model. The record is from RNAcentral.